GACGAACGCUGGCGGCGUGCUUAACACAUGCAAGUCGAACGGAAAGGCCCUGCUUUUGUGGGGUGCUCGAGUGGCGAACGGGUGAGUAACACGUGAGUAACCUGCCCUUGACUUUGGGAUAACUUCAGGAAACUGGGGCUAAUACCGGAUAGGAGCUCCUGCUGCAUGGUGGGGGUUGGAAAGUUUCGGCGGUUGGGGAUGGACUCGCGGCUUAUCAGCUUGUUGGUGGGGUAGUGGCUUACCAAGGCUUUGACGGGUAGCCGGCCUGAGAGGGUGACCGGCCACAUUGGGACUGAGAUACGGCCCAGACUCCUACGGGAGGCAGCAGUGGGGAAUAUUGCACAAUGGGCGGAAGCCUGAUGCAGCAACGCCGCGUGCGGGAUGACAGCCUUCGGGUUGUAAACCGCUUUCGCCUGUGACGAAGCGUGAGUGACGGUAAUGGGUAAAGAAGCACCGGCUAACUACGUG
This 468-nucleotide ribosomal RNA is filed under the name uncultured bacterium. RNAcentral describes it as "partial 16S ribosomal RNA". It matches the Rfam family "Bacterial small subunit ribosomal RNA", at positions 28 to 507 of the family's 1533-position model. The record is from RNAcentral.